UACGAAGGGGGCUAGCGUUGUUCGGAAUUACUGGGCGUAAAGCGUGCGCAGGCGGUUCGUGAUGUCUGGUGUGAAAGCCCCGGGCUUAACCUGGGAAUUGCAUUGGAAACUAGCGGGCUGGAGUGUGGCAGAGGGGGGUGGAAUUCCACGUGUAGCAGUGAAAUGCGUAGAGAUGUGGAGGAACACCGAUGGCGAAGGCAGCCCCCUGGGCUAACACUGACGCUCAUGCACGAAAGCGUGGGGAGCAAACAGG
This 253-nucleotide ribosomal RNA is filed under the name uncultured bacterium. Its description in RNAcentral is "partial 16S ribosomal RNA". It matches the Rfam family "Bacterial small subunit ribosomal RNA", at positions 524 to 776 of the family's 1533-position model. The record is from RNAcentral.